This 85-nucleotide transfer RNA is filed under the name Felis catus (domestic cat). It matches the Rfam family "tRNA". Rfam says of the family: Transfer RNA (tRNA) molecules are approximately 80 nucleotides in length. Their secondary structure includes four short double-helical elements and three loops (D, anti-codon, and T loops). Further hydrogen bonds mediate the characteristic L-shaped molecular structure. tRNAs have two regions of fundamental functional importance: the anti-codon, which is responsible for specific mRNA codon recognition, and the 3' end, to which the tRNAs corresponding amino acid is attached (by aminoacyl-tRNA synthetases). tRNAs cope with the degeneracy of the genetic code in two manners: having more than one tRNA (with a specific anti-codon) for a particular amino acid; and 'wobble' base-pairing, i.e. permitting non-standard base-pairing at the 3rd anti-codon position. Lineage: Eukaryota; Metazoa; Chordata; Mammalia; Carnivora; Felidae. The record is from Rfam by way of RNAcentral. RNAcentral also lists the same sequence under 4 other names.
GCCUGGGUGGCUCAGUCGGUUGAGCAUCUGAGUUAGGUUCAGGACAUGAUCUCACAGUUUGUGGGUUCGAGCCCCACAUCCGGCU